This 258-nucleotide ribosomal RNA is filed under the name uncultured bacterium. Its description in RNAcentral is "partial 16S ribosomal RNA". It matches the Rfam family "Bacterial small subunit ribosomal RNA", at positions 96 to 354 of the family's 1533-position model. The record is from RNAcentral.
CGGCGGACGGGUGAGUAACGCGUGGGCAACCUGCCUUACACAGGGGGAUAACAGUUAGAAAUGACUGCUAAUACCGCAUAAGACCACAGAGCUGCAUGGCUAAGUGGUAAAAACUCCGGUGGUGUAAGAUGGGCCCGCGUCUGAUUAGGUAGUUGGUGAGGUAACGGCUCACCAAGCCGACGAUCAGUAGCCGACCUGAGAGGGUGACCGGCCACAUUGGGACUGAGACACGGCCCAGACUCCUACGGAAGGCAGCAG